Transfer RNA from Toxocara canis (dog roundworm), 72 nucleotides. It matches the Rfam family "tRNA". Rfam says of the family: Transfer RNA (tRNA) molecules are approximately 80 nucleotides in length. Their secondary structure includes four short double-helical elements and three loops (D, anti-codon, and T loops). Further hydrogen bonds mediate the characteristic L-shaped molecular structure. tRNAs have two regions of fundamental functional importance: the anti-codon, which is responsible for specific mRNA codon recognition, and the 3' end, to which the tRNAs corresponding amino acid is attached (by aminoacyl-tRNA synthetases). tRNAs cope with the degeneracy of the genetic code in two manners: having more than one tRNA (with a specific anti-codon) for a particular amino acid; and 'wobble' base-pairing, i.e. permitting non-standard base-pairing at the 3rd anti-codon position. Lineage: Eukaryota; Metazoa; Nematoda; Chromadorea; Rhabditida; Toxocaridae. The record is from Rfam.
CGGGCAGUACCUCAGUGGCAGUGCCCCCGCUUCCUAUUCGGGAAGACCUGGGUUCGAUUCCCGGCUGCUCAC